AAAAGACACCAGGCAUAAACACUGGAAAGAAAGCUAAUAUUCCCUAAUUUGAUCUAUACAUUCAAAUGCUGACCCAGUCAAAAGUCCACAAGCUGACUCCAAAAUUCAUGUGGUUACGCAGAAGACCUAGAAUAGCCAAAACAACUCUACGAAGAACAAAGUUGGAGACUUAACAGUUUUCAAACCCCUCAUCCCAACUGUCAGGUACCAACUGCCAUUUUGCAAGGAUCCCCAGGGCAGUUGGACCUGGAAGCUGAGUUCCCUGUCCUUCCCUGGUUGGUGAUCUUCAAGGUCCCAGUGCUGUGCAAGAGUCAGGUGUUCAGAGUUCAGAGCCCCAUCACCCAUCAGUGAUUAGGCGGCAUUGCCCCUCUCCCCCAUAUUUUCCCCACCCAAGUGUGAUGAUUCCAACACACCUGCUCCCAAAAGAAAGGCUGGUUUGUUUGUUCCAUUGGAAACAACCAGGCUUUGAUUAGGAGACAAGUGGCCUGAGGUAUGACAGUGGGAGGGCAAGGAGCUCUAAUUGUAUCCAUCUGUGGUGAGUGUGGUGGCUCUGAAGAAGUGACAUCCUCAUGGGGCAGUUUCUGUAUUCCUCUGACGGAUUUGGUGUAGCUGCAACACUGGACCAUGUCACCUCAUGUGCCUAACACCUUACAAGGAAGAAGGGAAAACAGCAUGUGUCUAAGAAGGCAGAGACUGGAAUGAUACAGCUGCAUGCUAAGAAGGCCAAGAAUUGCUGACCACCCACCUGAAGCUGGGGAAAAGCAAGAAAAGUCUCUACCCAGAGUCUCAGAAGAAGCACAGCCCCGCUGACACCUUGGUUUUGGAUAUCUAGACUCCAGAACUGUGAGAAAAUAAAUUUUGGUUGUUUUAAGCCCCAAGGUUUGUGGUAAUACAGGGACUUAAUACAGUACAUAGUCAGGUACUCCCUAGCUCUGAACAUCAAAAGAGUCUAGAAACAAUGACAUUCCAGUAGCAAUGAACAUAUCUAACACCCAGACUUACUUUGUAAACAUUAAGCCUAGAUGUAAAAUAUUCUCCACUAAAAGGAAUCCUUGUAGAAAUAAAAAAUUGCAAAGAUAGAGCAGGAGAAGUACAAGAUGAACCUGGAACUUUUUGUGGUGCAGAAAGUAGGGCAGUGCUUCAAAAUGAUGUGGACAGCUAAUAGGACACCAAAACCAGGUGGAAGGGGCUCCCACUGGCCAAAAUGGGGUCAAUUUAAGCCACAAAAACCAAAUCAUGAUAAUAACAGAUUACAAUGCUGAGUUAGAAUCUGCAAGUCUUUACUUAUAAUAAACAAAUAAAUAUAU
This is a long non-coding RNA of Felis catus (domestic cat), 1307 nucleotides long. RefSeq lists it as uncharacterized. NCBI's taxonomy places the organism in Eukaryota, Metazoa, Chordata, Mammalia, Carnivora, Felidae. The transcript is spliced from 3 exons. The record is from RefSeq and is a predicted model, not a curated record.